UUUUGGGGGUGCAAUGCAUGCUUAUGCACCCCCGUAGAACCGGGCCUGACUCCUCACCUCCCAGAGGGUCCAGGCUAGCCCCAAGGUUCCGCACAGCCUUCACAUUAGGGCUUCCCUGGUCACAUAUUACUGCCUGCACCUUUGAAAUUGGUUAAUACAUUGUUGUCAAUACAAGGUUGGAGUUAAUGUUAAUUUGUUCAUUGUUAAUGCUGCUAUUUAAAAAAUAAAUAAUAAUAAAACUCUUCGCACUACAUACUGUCAGCCCUAUAUGAUGUAGGUGGCGAAUGGCAUCCUUAAUGACGGUAGCAAUAUCAUCUGCUGGCAUUGAAGAUGAGGAAAAUAAGUAACCCACCGUCUGUUGGAAGACAUGCUUUAGGACGAGCAUACACAUCCUCUCCACAGGGGUCAUGGUGGCGGCGAUGACUCCCAUUUGGGAGAUGAUUCCCUGUAGGAAGCCAGGCUGUCAGGAAAUAAAAGUUGUGCCCUAAUGAAGUUCCGGCAGCCCUCAGGACACCUCUGGAGCAUCUCCUCCAUAAUUUCAUGGGGACUACGAAAGAACAAGAGGUGGGGAGGCAAUUGGUGGCGGGUUGUCGCAAUCCACCAGUGUGGGGAUGGCAUCUCUG
This is a long non-coding RNA of Gadus morhua (Atlantic cod), 623 nucleotides long. RefSeq lists it as uncharacterized. NCBI's taxonomy places the organism in Eukaryota, Metazoa, Chordata, Actinopteri, Gadiformes, Gadidae. The transcript has 4 exons. The record is from RefSeq and is a predicted model, not a curated record.